UGGGGAAUAUUGCACAAUGGGGGAAACCCUGAUGCAGCGACGCCGCGUGAACGAAGAAGGUAUUCGUAUCGUAAAGUUCUGUCCUAUGGGAAGAUAAUGACAGUACCAUAGAAGAAAGCUCCGGCUAAAUACGUGCCAGCAGCCGCGGUAAUACGUAUGGAGCGAGCGUUGUCCGGAAUUAUUGGGCGUAAAGGGUACGCAGGCGGUUUAAUAAGUCGAAUGUUAAAGAUCGGGGCUCAACCCCGCAAAGCAUUGGAAACUGAUAAACUUGAGUAGUGGAGAGGAAAGUGGAAUUCCUAGUGUAGUGGAGAAAUACGUAGAUAUUAGGUGGAAUACCAGUAGCGAAGGCGACUUUCUGGACACAAACUGACGCUGAGGUACGAAUGCGUGGGGAGCAAACAGG
Molecule: ribosomal RNA, 403 nt
Filed under: bacterium
Lineage: Bacteria
Description: partial 16S ribosomal RNA
Rfam family: Bacterial small subunit ribosomal RNA
Source: RNAcentral